CAGUCGAGGGGUAUAGUUCUUCGGAACUAGAGACCGGCGCACGGGUGCGUAACGCGUAUGCAAUCUACCUUUCACAAAGGGAUAGCCCAGAGAAAUUUGGAUUAAUACCUCAUAGUAUAUAUGAAUGGCAUCAUUUAUAUAUUAAAGAUUUAUCGGUGAAAGAUGAGCAUGCGUCCCAUUAGCUAGUUGGUAAGGUAACGGCUUACCAAGGCAACGAUGGGUAGGGGUCCUGAGAGGGAGAUCCCCCACACUGGUACUGAGACACGGACCAGACUCCUACGGGAGGCAGCAGUGAGGAAUAUUGGACAAUGGGCGCAAGCCUGAUCCAGCCAUGCCGCGUGCAGGAUGACGGUCCUAUGGAUUGUAAACUGCUUUUAUACGAGAAGAAACCCUCCGACGUGUCGGAGCUUGACGGUAUCGUAAGAAUAAGGAUCGGCUAACUCCGUGCCAGCAGCCGCGGUAAUACGGAGGAUCCAAGCGUUAUCCGGAAUCAUUGGGUUUAAAGGGUCCGUAGGCGGUCAGGUAAGUCAGUGGUGAAAGCCCAUCGCUCAACGGUGGAACGGCCAUUGAUACUGUCUGACUUGAAUUAUUAGGAAGUAACUAGAAUAUGUAGUGUAGCGGUGAAAUGCUUAGAGAUUACAUGGAAUACCAAUUGCGAAGGCAGGUUACUACUAAUGGAUUGACGCUGAUGGACGAAAGCGUGGGUAGC
This 709-nucleotide ribosomal RNA is filed under the name uncultured bacterium. RNAcentral describes it as "bacterial SSU rRNA". It matches the Rfam family "Bacterial small subunit ribosomal RNA", at positions 59 to 769 of the family's 1533-position model. The record is from RNAcentral.